This 352-nucleotide ribosomal RNA is filed under the name uncultured soil bacterium. Its description in RNAcentral is "bacterial SSU rRNA". It matches the Rfam family "Bacterial small subunit ribosomal RNA", at positions 26 to 369 of the family's 1533-position model. The record is from RNAcentral.
AGGAUGAACGCUGGCGGCGUGCCUAAUACAUGCAAGUCGAGCGAACAGACGAGGAGCUUGCUCCUCUGACGUUAGCGGCGGACGGGUGAGUAACACGUGGAUAACCUACCUAUAAGACUGGGAUAACUUCGGGAAACCGGAGCUAAUACCGGAUAAUAUAUUGAACCGCAUGGUUCAAUAGUGAAAGACGGUUUUGCUGUCACUUAUAGAUGGAUCCGCGCCGCAUUAGCUAGGUUGGUAAGGUAACGGCUUACCAAGGCAACGAUGCGUAGCCGACCUGAGAGGGUGAUCGGCACACUGGAACUGAGACACGGUCCAGACUCCGUAGGAGGCAGCAGUAGGGAUCUUCCGC